This 73-nucleotide transfer RNA is filed under the name Planctomycetaceae bacterium. Its description in RNAcentral is "tRNA-Thr". It matches the Rfam family "tRNA". Rfam says of the family: Transfer RNA (tRNA) molecules are approximately 80 nucleotides in length. Lineage: Bacteria; Pseudomonadati; Planctomycetota; Planctomycetia; Planctomycetales; Planctomycetaceae. RNAcentral also lists the same sequence under 2 other names. The record is from RNAcentral.
GCCAGCGUAGCUCAGUUGGCAGAGCAGCUGAUUUGUAAUCAGCAGGUCGUGGGUUCGAAUCCCUCCGCUGGCU